GUCUGGCUGGAGCUGGACCGGCUGGUGGCGCCAGGCAGUGCCAAGCACCCCUGGCAGCCCUGCAGAGGGUUCUCAAAUCCAGAUUUCAUUCUGCAGUCCCGGCAGUGUUUUGACGACUGCCUCACUAAAGGAAGCUAAAAGCUGUGCUGAUGCCUCCCAGACGAGCCUCGUUGGAAGCACAGAACCUUCACGGCUCGGAGCCGCUGACACCGUGACAAAGGGAGCCCUGCUCAGGAGAAAGAGCAAAUGAGAGGCAGUUGCACUUUUUCAGGUGUCAGGCUGGAGGAAGCCACUUGAAGAUGAAUCUACCUCUGCCUUAGGAUUGCCUGAUGGCCUGUGCCAUUCCAUGUUAUAUCUACUGAUUUGCUCCCUGUAUUCAAAGAUUUUUUUUUUUUACUUAAUUCUCUCUUACUGACCCUGAGAGUGACCAUAUUUUUAACCAAUUUGGUCUUCAGCCUCAAAACUUAGCUCUUUCCUUUUGUGGUCCCCGAAUCCUAUCACGUGUCAUGGUGGCUGUGAAGAUGUUUGCCAAGCCUGCUGAGAAGGCUCAUCUGUGGCAUCCAAAAGCAGAGAUUUCAACUCUGGACCCCUGUGACCUGCCUUUGUAAUUAUGGAUACCCAGCACUGUUUUGAAAUAUCAGUGGACAUCCAGUUUUUAAAAGCCCUCAGAGCUUUGGGAGACACCCCUUUAUCUCUCUGGCAUGUCAGAGAACCGAUUCAACCCUUCUCAUCUCCUCCUCCUUCCCUCUCUUGGGCCAUCAGGAUGCGGCAGCAACUCACUGUGCAUGUUUUUACAGCUCUUCUCCAGUAAUGCUGCCAUUUCCACUGCAGACCACAGGAUAAAAGGACCGCUUCACCGUGGCCCAGGAUACCCUUUUAAGUAGGAGGGGGAGAAGAAAGUACUGCUUUGAUCUAAAAUUAAGCAAACGUUCUUCAAUAAACCCACCAUGAGACUUGACCACUAAUGGUGACCAGCAGUGGCUUUGUCAUGGCCCUGCCCACUGGGGGCAGGCACAUGCCGGGGCCAGGGCAGGCUGCCAGCUGGUUUGAGGUUGCACUGUUGCCCCAGGACAUCGUAUGAGUAGAGGGUUAACCACCUUAGCCAAGAGUAAUUUGGUCUGGUGAGUUCUCCACCUUCAGGACAAAAGCAUUUCAGAACCAUCCUAACAAUAGUGUUCCCAUAAGUAACCAGACACUGUUUGUAUCCAUAGCAACAUGGCUCCAUGAGCCCUGCUUCCGAGGAGCAGCUGCCCUUCCUGGGCACUGUCAAGAGUUGUUCUUCUCUGACAUCCACACCCUUCUUUACCUGGCACAUACCCCAGCCCAGGCACCAGGCAUCCAGGGCCUUCUAUGGCUGUCCGGAUGCAUUCCUUCACAGCUGGAAUGUGGUUGGCUUGUUGACUUCUGUUCCCAGCAUAGUGAACAGUGGGCACUAUAAGCCAGUAGGCACUCAAUUGAUGAUUCUUCAAUGAAAUAAUUGAUGCCACUUUUAGGUCAGUCUUUCUUGUACGUUACACCUUCUGUUGUUCAACAGAGCCCCACAAUAUCCCAGAACUUGGAGGUCUUAUCUCGGGGUUUCUCAGAUGUUGGAGUACCCAGGUAUCACCUGCUGAGCCAGUUUCCCUGGCCUCACCUGCAGGGGCUCUGAGUCAGUAAAUCUGGGGCAGGCCCAGUACUUUGCAUGUGAGCACAGACCCAGGUGUUUCUGAACCUGGUGGUCCAGGGACUGCUGCAGGAAGGAGCCAAUAGGACUGCAUGCCUUAGAGGCAGUGGGUCUCAUCCAUCCCUAUCUAUGGCACUGACUACAGGCCAUGUCCAGGCCACAUGGGCACAUGCUAUUAUAAUUAUUUUGUGUGAUGGAUGAGUUACAGAACUGGAGCCCUAAGACCUGAGUUCUAGUUUCAGCUCUGCCAGUUGCUGGCUGAUUGAAACUGAACAAGCCACCUGCCUUCCCUGAGACUGUCUCUUCUCCUGUGAAAUUAGGGCAUUAGAAUACAUGAAGACCCCUUUAUGUCCUUAAUAACCUGUAAGUUUAAGAACCUAGGGAAUCUCCAUGCUGGUGGCUGCGGUUAUAUCCCCUUAUCCUCAACUCGUGAAGAAAGAGUCAAAAAUGGCAGCAGGGUUGUGUCAACUGCUCUCCUCAGCAGCUAUCAUAAGGGAAUUGCCUUUGUCAUUUUCCCCAGCCAUCACCACACUCCCACACGGCCACCAUCACCUAAACCAUCUGGCAGUGGGGGUUACCUCCUAAAUCUAAGACGCAGAGACCCACCGCAGGCCUUUCUUUCUGGCUGCCCUCCACUCCCACCCAGAGGCUCAGUUUUGCUGGGCUGCACACCUCCGAGGACUCAGUUCUUUGUGUUUCAUGUUGUUUCAUAUCCACUAGUGUUACAGAAACUGCUGCAAACCAGGGACCAAAAGUCCAUAGGUUCUAAUUCUAGCUGUGACACUAGUGAGAUGAGUGACUGCUGGCAAGUUACUUUAUCUAUCUGACCUCACCUCCCAUGUACAAAAUUGGGUCUGUAUGCACAUUUGUGGUUCUAAAUCCUGGAGUCCAAAUCAGAGUUCUUUGUGCAAAAUAUACGUAGCUAGGUCCUAACCUCGGAGAUCCUGACUCAGUCUGGGGAAAGGCGCAGAUCUUGGGGAGAAAACAACUCUCUAGAAGAGUCUCGCCUUCAGUGAGUGACAAGAUCUCUCCUGUCUCUCGGUUCACAAUGUUACCCUAACUAAUCCAUCCUCUGAUGUCACCUGCUAACAACUUCCCCUGUGGCAUCAAACCAGUAGCCCAUUUGCAGCUAGUACAAACACUUCUUUACAUUUAAGUUUUGUUUACGAGAUUUAGCCUACAAUCAUAGAGGCUGCCAGCUGGGUUUCAAAUGUGUAUGUUCCAUUGCUAAUAGGAAAAACUGCAUCUAUUAGAAAAAUUCUCUCUGGGAGCUGAGCACAGAGGCAGGCCUUGUAUUGCAAACAUUUGAAAAGCCAUAAGCAGGUAUUCUGGACUGUGUUUUAGAUCACCUGAGAACAUUUCUUGAACACUAGUAUUUGCUUAGAGUGACAAACCUAUUAAGUGGUUCUUUCAGGUAAGUUUGCAUCCAAGCAAUGUCGUCUGAAUCGCAGGAGGAAGUCAGGAGUUGUGUCUGGCUUUCUGGCCAUACAAAUGGCAUAUGGGAAAGUCAUUGUAUAUUAUUAAUAUCCUUUGAUGUAUAUUAUUAUGACUUUCUCACGGUAGUAAUGUUGUUGGUUUUUAUUAAUGUUAUUUUUAUAGCAAUGCUAAUAUUAUGAGCUAAAAGUUUCUGAGCAUCUGCUGGGUGCCAAAAAUUCUUAUAAAUGCUUUACAUGCAUUAGCUCCUAACAACACUUUGAAGUAAUUCUUAUUGUCCUUACUUGACAUAUACAGGAAUAAAAACCUGACCAUUAGACCGAGCGUGGUGGCUCACGCCUGUAAUCCCAACACUUUGGGAGGCCGAGGCAGGCGGAUCACCUGAGGUCAGGAGUUUGAGACCAGCCUGGCCACCAUGGUGAGACCCCGUCUCUACUAAAAACACACAAAAAAUUAGCCGGGCGUGGUGGUGGGUACUUGUAAUCUCAGCUACCCGGGAGGCUAAUGCAGGAGAAUCGCUUGAACCCAGGAGGCGGAGGUUGCAGUGAGCCAAGAUUGCGCCAUUGCACUCCAGCCUGGGCAACAAGAGCAAAACUCUUUCAAAUAAACAAACAAAACCUAAGCAUUUGAGGGGUUUGGCCUGGGCAGUGGAGCUUGUGAGCUAUAUGAGCUGGAAUCUGAGUCAAGGCUGGGCUGGUGAAAGGAGUUCACUCAAGUUCCCAAGGUAUUCUGUCCUCCAGGACUCUGAAUCACCUGGGAGGAGAAGGAAUUGUGGCGGGCCUAACACCUUUUCUUUCCCAAACACCAAGAGCAGGUUCUUUCUGUUACAUCCAUUGAGGUCACAUUCUUGAAGUGCAUUUUGAGGAAGUCAUUAUUUUCGCUACAGCAGGGACUGAUGUAUCAGUCUAUUAGAAUUCAGAAAAAAGUAAGCAAACAAAAAACGUGUUGGAAUUAUUCUCUUCUAGCAUUUUGAAAUGUACAAUGGUUAAUGUUAACUAUAGCCACCAUGAUGUAUUGAAGACCAGGUCUUAUUCUUUUUAUCUAACUGUACAUUUGUACCCAUUAACCUAAUGCUCAUAGCAUCAAGAAAAGAUCAAUAUUUAAGGUGACAAAUAUCCCAAUUAUGCUGAUUUGAUUAUAUGAAUGUGUUGAAUUAUCAUAUGUACUCCCAAAAUAUGCACAUCUAAGAUGUAUCAAUAAAAAUAAAGACAAAAAUUAAAGCUUUUACAGUAGAAAAAAGGCCAGAUCAAGGAAAGAGACAGGAAAGCAGAUGAUUUUACCUGCCUUCCCUAAGUGCACUCGGGAAGAGAAGGAUCAUCUCAAAAAGGGUUAAGGAAUGAGAUCAUGGAAAUCACUUACACACGCGGUCGCGGCUUGGACUUGGCUAGUGAGGCCGGCCUGCCCACUCUGCUUCCAUUCACUCAGACACAGCUUGGGCUUUUCCUCCAAGUGCUGGUAGCAGUCAUUUAUGAGGGAGGAAAGGAGCAGAAUAAACACACUUCUCAGCUCCCAGGCACUCUGUGUGUGUAGACAGAGGCUCGGGUGGAUGAGAAACCUCAGCACACCCAUGAUCUUUGUCAAGGCUGGAGACUUGCAGUGCACACUCCAGGCCUGUGGAAAUGGUUCCACCUGGGUCCCUCUAUUGCUCCUCAGCUGCCACAUUAGGGCACCUCGCCCAAGUCCACGUGUGGGAUGUGCCUGCCUGUGGCCCACCUAACGUAUGCAGUCUGUCUGGAGUGCCAGGCACAGGCUCCUCACGUGGGCUUCAGCUGGAAUUGAAAACUGCAUUUCUCAAGGUCCAGAGACCACACUAAAAUGGUGGCUGACGUGGAGACAGAGGAAGCUCCUUUCUAGUUAUGGCCACAAGGCAGGAUGCUGAGGUGUUGUCUAGGAUCACAUUGCCUUUGCCUCGUAGGCUCAGUUGGAUCUCCAAGUGGCGGUACCGUUCUCUCCACUUCAAAAAUACACAGAAACAUGUGGAAAUGUUCUGUCAUCCAGAAUGAAAAGCAUGUGCACCAAAUUUUCACAGACCUGAUUCGAAUGUAGAUAAAAGUGCAAAAUCCAGAGGAGGGAACACGCUAUAGAAAUCCUGUCUUCUAUACUAUAAUUUAAUCAUCGUGUGCCACAGAAUGUCUUUGCAUAAAUUACAACCACAAUAAUAGCAUCACUUUCACAAAAGGUGGCCUCUAAUCGAUUUGACUCUCCAAGAGAUGGCUGGGUUUUUCAAAGCAGAGAAAUGAUGACCUGCAGUCUUAAAGAGCUGUUGAUUGCACCUGGGGCUCCCGUGGCCGGCGCCCAUCGAGCAGCCCAUCCUGGCUGUUCCCUUGUUCAGCUGAUUUUCUUUUUUAUCUUGACAUUUGCUAACCGCUUGGUUUUUAUUUUCCGGGAAGAGAGGAUUAUUGGCAACUGGCACCACCCCCAUGUCUGGAGGAGGGACGUUUCUAGGAUGACCCCCAGAGUGGAGAAAUAGCCGAGGUAACCUUUUUGCUAUAAAUUUCUUCCCCUGCCUCCGUCUUCUGUUCCUUUCCUUCCCCCCAUCCCUUGAACAAACAUGAUUUUUAAAUUCCCCUCAUCAUUUUUAGUGCUUUGGAGUCUUCUCAGAUGUGGACGAAAACAGUUCGUGAGCUGCGCUGAGCAGUUCCGGAGCCCUGGCUCCCUUUCCCCGGGGCCUAAGCCCCCAAGAAGAGAGUCUUUUUCAGGACCAUGGGAGCAGGUUUUAAAAGGCUUUCUAUUGAAGCGAGGCCGUCAGCCAGCCGUGCGUGUCCGCAUUGUGGUGGUCCCAGAGCCUUAUGGACAAUCCUUUGAAAGAAUAGGGUUGGGAAGAUUCUCAGGACAGAAGCGGCUAAUUUCCAUCCUUGGAGCUUUAUCUCACAAAGGAUAUUUGAUAGAAAGAAAAAAUGGAGUCUGUGGAAGCUUUGCUCCUAUUUCCAAAUGGGUUGACUCUGGAUGCAAAGGAAUAUUUUCACAUUUUUCCCAAUAGAGGAAAGCUUUUAGUGCCAAAAUCCUCAAAGGAGAAUGAACAUCACACAUUACACAUGUAUGUAUAAGGGUAGAAUAAUAUGGUACAAAAUCCAGUGAGUACAAGCACACAAUGGGCAUUCAGUACAGGUUAAAUGAAUAUGCAAGAAAAAUUCAAAGUUGUUGUUGCUGUUUAUAAGGGUGGUGAUUAUUAAUAGAUGCAAAUGUAUACUCCCUUUUGUAAUCACAGCAAGGUAAAAGUCUUAUCUCUGAUCAUUACCAUGAGGACACUUAAAUAUUUAGCCCUGGGGACAAAAUGGUUUGUAGGCAGGACGUCCUGUGUGUUUAUGCACACAUAAAAUGCCGCCCUGGCCCCAGGACUGCAAGGCCUCUGACUGCAUCAUUUACAUUCAGGGGUGGUCCUGAUCAACAUGGCCCCAUAGAAUAAUAGAGGGAAUUUCAGAUAGUACAGCGUUAGAUAAUAAGCGCUUUCCACUGACUCUGUUUACAUGUGGAAAUUAGAAGCGCUGAGUGAAAAAGAGUAGUGAAAAUAAAGACAGGAAGUAUAUACACAACAAACAAUUUUUCCUCUCUGCAAAUCGGAUUAUUCCCUUGCGCACCCCCUGCAACCCCCAUCUAUGAUGUCAAACUCAAUGGACUGUUGAACUAAUAGCCUGGGAGUCACCAGCGUGAGAGUGUGUAUGUCCACGCUGUGCAACUUGAAUUAGGCUGGCCACCACGGCUGUGUACAGCUACCCCAGGAAGAGCCCCUCCCCUCCUCAGCAUUUCAGUGGAAAACGUGCUGACUGGGACCCAGCUACAGGAAUCACAUUUGGGCAGAGAGAAUGGCUUAUCCUUUUCAUGAGGGGUCUUGACUCAAGAACACUUGCCAAUUCUGCUUGACCGUUUCCCAUUCUUUACGGUUUUUCCUAUCACUCCUUAGACUAAGAAAGAAAAAUCUGUAGGAAUGAUUCGGUGGGAUUUCUCUUUUGUUCCUAAAUAAACCUUAUCCCUGGAUGAGCUCGUUCACACUAGGGAAGUUACUACCACUGGCUUUGAAGCCAGGCAGAUCUGGGUGUUCCUUCCCAUGUCUUUAUUUGCUUUGUGGGGGAUCUUUUCCCAGCCUUUCUGCUUUCAUCCUUCUUAGUGAGAGCUUCUUCAGCUGCAGAACAGGGGCAAUAAUGCCUACCUUGCUGGGUUGCAGCAGAGAAUGCUGCUUAUGCAGGAAAAUAAAAAAACACAUAGCACACAAUGGGAGCUUAAUACAUAAGAAUUAUAAACAGUCUUUUGUGUAUAUAUCAAUGUAUUUCAUGUCCUUAAUGUUUAUUUAAAGCAAGUACAUUCUUUUGAAUUAAGCAUAAAAAGGUCAUAAAAUGCCAGAGAUGUGCUUAUUUGAAAUGUUUGCAAUGCUUUGCAAUUGUUUUAAAAUAAGGAGAUGAUAUAACAGGGUGUUACCUCCGCCACUAAUUAGUUACGUAAUCUUAGAUUAUGUCACUUCCCUGGGUCUCAGUUGUAAACAGUUGCUUAAUAAAUAAUGUUUGUUUUGCUUUCAUCAAUAUCAUGAGGCAACCCACACAGGCAGGCUGGAGAGGAGUGGCAAGAAGCUCACCUUCGGACAGUAGUGAGCAGAGCAACAGAGGCCCCCAGAGACUUCGCACAACGGAAAAGAGAUCAACUCCCGCAUUUGCAGGGGACGUGAAAGUGCAAUACUGUGAGGAACAAAAGGAAGCCUCAUCUCUGGAAGCCGGGAGGAAAAACAGUCGGUGUAGACAGCAGCGGCAGGGACCAGAGCUGACCAGAAGGCUGGGUCCCAGCAACAAUUAGAGACAGGCAGCAGCUGAGGCCCCUUCUCUCAUUCAUCAGGAGGAAGGGGAGUCAUUCCAGCCUUCACUGCCUGUGGACGGCAACAACUUCACUGUGGAAGACGCCAGUAGGUAAGAAGUUGCUCAUGGAGCCCAUAUGAAUAAAGACAACAUUGAACCUGACUCCUUGGCUGCCUGUCUCCUUCCCCUUUCUACAGGAGAAGUAAAGGCAUUUGCAUGGGCUUGAUCCACAAUGACUCAGCUUUCAGCCAUCGCAAUUGUGCUAUGCUCAGCUGUCAAGUGUGUUUUAAAUCUCCUACUACAUUUUUUUUAAAGUUUUUCUGCCAUCCUUUGUACUCCUUUUUAAAAACUUAUCCAGGAAGUGGUAUGAAAUCUCCAGUACUUCUCGGCACACACAGAUGCGUCUUUUUCUGUUUAUUGUUUUCCCUCUGAGAGUUGUAGUGUUCAGUUGGUUACACCAAGAGAAGUACUUGGCUGGGACUGUUAAAAAAAGUGUCACAAAGCA
RNAcentral lists this long non-coding RNA (8383 nucleotides) under Homo sapiens (human). RNAcentral's name for it is "long non-coding RNA NONHSAT181184.1". Lineage: Eukaryota; Metazoa; Chordata; Mammalia; Primates; Hominidae. The record is from RNAcentral.